GGCGAACGCUGGCGGCGUGCUUAACACAUGCAAGUCGAACGGUGAAGCGCCUUCCUUUUUGGUGAGUGUGGAUGAGUGGCGAACGGGUGAGUAACACGUGAGUAACCUGCCCCCUUCUUCUGGAUAACCGCAUGAAAGUGUGGCUAAUACGGGAUAUUCUGGGUCUGUCGCAUGAUGGGUCUGGGAAAGAUAUUGUUUCGGUGGGGGAUGGGCUCGCGGCCUAUCAGCUUGUUGGUGGGGUGAUGGCCUACCAAGGCGGUGACGGGUAGCCGGCCUGAGAGGGUGGACGGUCACACUGGGACUGAGACACGGCCCAGACUCCUACGGGAGGCAGCAGUGGGGAAUAUUGCACAAUGGGCGCAAGCCUGAUGCAGCGACGCCGCGUGAGGGAUGGAGGCCUUCGGGUUGUGAACCUCUUUCGCCAGUGAAGCAGGCCUGCCUCGUUUGUGGGUGGGUUGACGGUAGCUGGAGAAGAAGCGCCGGCUAACUACGUG
Molecule: ribosomal RNA, 494 nt
Filed under: uncultured bacterium
Lineage: Bacteria
Description: partial 16S ribosomal RNA
Rfam family: Bacterial small subunit ribosomal RNA
Source: RNAcentral